GGGGCCGUAGCUCAGUUGGGAGAGCGCUAGCAUGGCAUGCUAGAGGCCACGGGUUCGACUCCCGUCGGCUCCACCA
This 76-nucleotide transfer RNA is filed under the name Candidatus Bipolaricaulota bacterium. RNAcentral describes it as "tRNA-Ala". It matches the Rfam family "tRNA". From Rfam's summary of the family: Transfer RNA (tRNA) molecules are approximately 80 nucleotides in length. Their secondary structure includes four short double-helical elements and three loops (D, anti-codon, and T loops). Further hydrogen bonds mediate the characteristic L-shaped molecular structure. tRNAs have two regions of fundamental functional importance: the anti-codon, which is responsible for specific mRNA codon recognition, and the 3' end, to which the tRNAs corresponding amino acid is attached (by aminoacyl-tRNA synthetases). tRNAs cope with the degeneracy of the genetic code in two manners: having more than one tRNA (with a specific anti-codon) for a particular amino acid; and 'wobble' base-pairing, i.e. permitting non-standard base-pairing at the 3rd anti-codon position. Lineage: Bacteria; Candidatus Bipolaricaulota. The record is from RNAcentral.